RNAcentral lists this ribosomal RNA (423 nucleotides) under Phrynobatrachus liberiensis (Liberia river frog). Its description in RNAcentral is "partial large subunit ribosomal RNA". It matches the Rfam family "Bacterial large subunit ribosomal RNA", at positions 1992 to 2597 of the family's 2925-position model. Lineage: Eukaryota; Metazoa; Chordata; Amphibia; Anura; Phrynobatrachidae. The record is from RNAcentral.
AUCAACGGCAUCACGAGGGCUAAACUGUCUCCCCUUUCUAAUCAAUGAACCUGACUUCUUCGUGAAGAGGCGAACAUACACAUAUAAGACGAGAAGACCCCAUGGAGCUUAAAACCUAAUAACACCUCUUGCAUACUAACCAUAAUAAAUAAGAGUCCUGUUUAACAGUUUUUGGCUGGGGCAUCCGAGGAGAACAACAUAACCUCCCCGACGAAUCAUCUUAGAACCACAAUUCCAAGAUAAAGCAAACUUAUGUAACAUGACCCGACAAUCGAUCAACGAACCAAGUUACCCUGGGGAUAACAGCGCAAUCCAUUUCAAGAGCCCCUAUCGACAAAUGGGUUUACGACCUCGAUGUUGGAUCAGGGUAUCCCAGUGGUGCAGCCGCUACUAAAGGUUCGUUUGUUCAACGAUUAAAACCCU